This 77-nucleotide transfer RNA is filed under the name Sphaerodactylus townsendi. RNAcentral describes it as "tRNA-Thr". The record is from RNAcentral. Lineage: Eukaryota; Metazoa; Chordata; Lepidosauria; Squamata; Sphaerodactylidae.
GGCACAGCUGUGUGGUUCAAGGGUAGAGUGCAUGCUUUGUGCGCAGGAGGUCCUAGGUUCAGUUCCCAGCAUUUCCA